UACGUAGGGUGCAAGCGUUGUCCGGAAUCAUUGGGCGUAAAGCGCGCGUAGGUGGCUUCGUAAGUCCGUUGUGAAAGUCAAAGGCUCAACCUUUGAAAGCCGAUGGAUACUGCGGAGCUAGAGUACGGAAGAGGCGAGUGGAAUUCCUGGUGUAGCGGUGGAAUGCGCAGAUAUCAGGAGGAACACCAAUAGCGAAGGCAGCUCGCUGGGACGUUACUGACGCUGAGGAGCGAAAGCGUGGGGAGCAAACAGG
RNAcentral lists this ribosomal RNA (253 nucleotides) under uncultured bacterium. Its description in RNAcentral is "partial 16S ribosomal RNA". It matches the Rfam family "Bacterial small subunit ribosomal RNA", at positions 524 to 776 of the family's 1533-position model. The record is from RNAcentral.